RNAcentral lists this non-coding RNA (106 nucleotides) under Streptomyces sp. Mg1. RNAcentral's name for it is "Streptomyces RNA 5676". It matches the Rfam family "Streptomyces RNA 5676". Rfam says of the family: Identified by deep sequencing of transcriptome at the end of exponential growth phase. Appears longer on northern blot than sequencing transcript. This indicates processing step. The record is from Rfam by way of RNAcentral. Lineage: Bacteria; Bacillati; Actinomycetota; Actinomycetes; Kitasatosporales; Streptomycetaceae.
AGAUGAGUGAGACAGCCCGUUCCCGGGAGACCGGGGACGAUCCCGGCACCGGGCUUCCCCAGCGCCGUACCGGGCAUGCGUUCGCGCACCCUCCUCACCGAUCGGA